This 514-nucleotide ribosomal RNA is filed under the name uncultured bacterium. RNAcentral's name for it is "partial 16S ribosomal RNA". It matches the Rfam family "Bacterial small subunit ribosomal RNA", at positions 28 to 523 of the family's 1533-position model. The record is from RNAcentral.
GAUGAACGCUGGCGGCGUGCCUAAUACAUGCAAGUCGAGCGAACAGAUGAGAAGCUUGCUUCUCUGAUGUUAGCGGCGGACGGGUGAGUAACACGUGGGUAACCUACCUAUAAGACUGGGAUAACUCCGGGAAACCGGGGCCAAUACCGGAUAAUAUUUUGAACCGCAUGGUUCAAUAGUGAAAGACGGUUUCGGCUGUCACUUAUAGAUGGACCCGCGCCGUAUUAGCUAGUUGGUAAGGUGACGGCUUACCAAGGCGACGAUACGUAGCCGACCUGAGAGGGUGAUCGGCCACACUGGAACUGAGACACGGUCCAGACUCCUACGGGAGGCAGCAGUAGGGAAUCUUCCGCAAUGGGCGAAAGCCUGACGGGGCAACGCCGCGUGAGUGAUGAAGGUCUUCGGAUCGUAAAACUCUGUUGUUAGGGAAGAACAAAUUUGUUAGUAACUGAACAAGUCUUGACGGUACCUAACCAGAAAGCCACGGCUAACUACGUGCCAGCAGCCGCGGUAA